UAAGGAUAUGCUGACAUAAAUACAUAAAUCCAGUGUAUGUCCCAGUUACUCUGUCUACAAGAUUUUGUCUGUUUUGUCACCCUUUGCUUACCUUGUGAAGGAGAUGCUUAUUUCUCUUCAUCCAUCUGUGGUUCUACUGGAUUUUCUACAUACUGAGUUUUUGCCAGUUGGAACACUGAGCUGUGUUUCUGAUCAAAAUGAGUUGAGUGAUUCCAAUUUGACUGAAUGACAGAAACCCCAAAUCCUUCCAGCAUGCAGUGGUGUCAGAGAAGGAUUAUUAUGUUUUCAACAGCUCGUGGUGUACCCAGAAACAGAUAUUGUUUUCUCUUUUCAGCCCUUUUCCUUCCUUUCUGGGGACUGUAAUGCACUUAUGAGUUCAGCUGUUUAUAAUGAGGGGAUUUCAAUCUGGUUUCAGCUAAUUCUAGCAGGUCACCAGAAUCAAGCUUCAACUUCUGUAAGAAAGUCUUUCAACAGCUUUUGUAAUGAAGUUUUUGUUGAGGAAGGACAAAGAUUGCCCCGAACUUUUGCAAUGUCUCUGAAGAUGCUGUGUGUGACUGGAGGGAGGAAGAGAGAAAGAGUUUUUCCCACCUUGGAAAGGACUCCAGUGUACCUGAGGGCAGAGGUUGCUGAUAGCAGGAUACAGAUCCCCUCAAUUCUUGGGUAAUUCUGAAAUCUGUGUGGCUUUGCAUGCUCAGUU
This 697-nucleotide long non-coding RNA is filed under the name Zonotrichia albicollis (white-throated sparrow). RNAcentral's name for it is "lncRNA (ENSZALG00000013672.1)". Lineage: Eukaryota; Metazoa; Chordata; Aves; Passeriformes; Passerellidae. The record is from RNAcentral.